CUCGUGACUUCGGGGUCCUCCGAGACCUCCACCGCGUGGUGGAAGCCCGGACGGAAACACUCUUUGCAACCACACGAGGAUGCCUUUCGUAGGUAGGCAGCACAGGGAACGUCGUCUCUCGCCCGGGGAACCCGGGUGCCAACGAGGGGGAUGCGUGUCUGACCGUUCGAUGCACGGGGCAUGGAGCCAGCCGACAACAACAU
Molecule: long non-coding RNA, 203 nt
Filed under: Phaseolus vulgaris (common bean)
Lineage: Eukaryota; Viridiplantae; Streptophyta; Magnoliopsida; Fabales; Fabaceae
Description: long non-coding RNA (PVUL_LNC002137)
Source: RNAcentral